GAUCAAAGACUAACAAUUCCCCAGUGGUUAUGGCGCCAGGUUAAGGUUACCUUGACAUUAUAUCCUGGUCACGUAAGUGGCGAGGGUUCGAAUCCCUCUCUGUUCA
Non-coding RNA from Letharia columbiana, 106 nucleotides. The record is from the annotation of a RefSeq genome assembly. NCBI's taxonomy places the organism in Eukaryota, Fungi, Ascomycota, Lecanoromycetes, Lecanorales, Parmeliaceae.